Long non-coding RNA from Sinocyclocheilus rhinocerous, 676 nucleotides. RefSeq lists it as uncharacterized. The transcript is spliced from 2 exons. Lineage: Eukaryota; Metazoa; Chordata; Actinopteri; Cypriniformes; Cyprinidae. The record is from RefSeq and is a predicted model, not a curated record.
UCUUUGCUUUGUUGCUAAAGUCAACAGUGACAGAGUUUGAGCUCAAAUAAAUGCCGCGAGGCUUCCAGCCCUGUGCAGAAGGCAGCGGGAGAGGCUCCGAUACCGUUCUGCAGGCUCCAGAUCUGAACCAAUCAGCAGUCAUCUUCAUCGUCGUGCCACUUCAUUUGGCAACUGCUGGUUCAACCCUUUCCAUCGGCCACGUUCACCUGCAGCUACCCACAGUCACGUCUGACCUGGAUGCAUGAGCAAGAUAACAUUCACAUCUGCAACGUCAAGAGAGAGGGGCACAAGGAAGCCUGACAUUAAUGAUUAACAGCGCUAAAAGCCCCUGCUUUUGUAUUCCCAUGGUGCCAGGGCUAUCUGCCGAUCAUGUGACCUGCACCGAGAAGAUUGGGGGAGUGAGCGCAAAAGCAAACACAGGUGUUUGGGCUGGAGUCGGUCGGCGCUGUUAGGGACAACUGCAAACACAGGCUGCCAUGCCUGGAGACGCGAAUGCCCGCCCACACCAACAGGACAGCCAACCGGAGUCACUGACUCAAGUCUGCCGCUCUCUGCCUGCCUUUUCUCUGAACAAUUAAGGCUCUUCAUUGGCCUAUUAAAGUCUGCUCUUUUAGUACAGUUUGACCUGAGGAGCUAUGGAUUCUUUAUUGAGCACCAUAAAUAGGCAUAAAAUAAA